This 70-nucleotide transfer RNA is filed under the name Virgibacillus salexigens. It matches the Rfam family "tRNA". From Rfam's summary of the family: Transfer RNA (tRNA) molecules are approximately 80 nucleotides in length. Their secondary structure includes four short double-helical elements and three loops (D, anti-codon, and T loops). The record is from RNAcentral. RNAcentral also lists the same sequence under 1 other name. Lineage: Bacteria; Bacillati; Bacillota; Bacilli; Caryophanales; Bacillaceae.
GCCUGUAGCUCAGUUGGUUAGAGCGCACGCCUGAUAAGCGUGAGGUCGGUGGUUCAAGUCCACUCAGGCC